GGAUCCAGACUUUGAUUCUGGCUCACGAUGAACGCUAGCUACAGGCUUAACACAUGCAAGUCGAGGGGCAGCGGGAUUGAAGCUUGCUUCAAUUGCCGGCGACCGGCGCACGGGUGAGUAACGCGUAUCCAACCUUCCGUACACUCAGGGAUAGCCUUUCGAAAGAAAGAUUAAUACCUGAUAGUAUCUUAAGCACACAUGUAAUUAAGAUUAAAGAUUUAUCGGUGUACGAUGGGGAUGCGUUCCAUUAGGUAGUAGGCGGGGUAACGGCCCACCUAGCCAACGAUGGAUAGGGGUUCUGAGAGGAAGGUCCCCCACAUUGGAACUGAGACACGGUCCAAACUCCUACGGGAGGCAGCAGUGAGGAAUAUUGGUCAAUGGACGAGAGUCUGAACCAGCCAAGUAGCGUGAAGGAUGAAGGUCCUACGGAUUGUAAACUUCUUUUAUAAGGGAAUAAACCCUCCCACGUGUGGGAGCUUGUAUGUACCUUAUGAAUAAGCAUCGGCUAACUCCGUGCCAGCAGCCGCGGUAAUACGGAGGAUGCGAGCGUUAUCCGGAUUUAUUGGGUUUAAAGGGAGCGCAGACGGGUCGUUAAGUCAGCUGUGAAAGUUUGGGGCUCAACCUUAAAAUUGCAGUUGAUACUGGCGUCCUUGAGUGCGGUUGAGGUGUGCGGAAUUCGUGGUGUAGCGGUGAAAUGCUUAGAUAUCACGAAGAACUCCGAUUGCGAAGGCAGCACACUAAUCCGUAACUGACGUUCAUGCUCGAAAGUGUGGGUAUCAAACAGGAUUAGAUACCCUGGUAGUCCACACGGUAAACGAUGGAUACUCGCUGUUGGCGAUAUACUGUCAGCGGCUUAGCGAAAGCGUUAAGUAUCCCACCUGGGGAGUACGCCGGCAACGGUGCAACU
This 907-nucleotide ribosomal RNA is filed under the name uncultured Bacteroidota bacterium. RNAcentral describes it as "bacterial SSU rRNA". It matches the Rfam family "Bacterial small subunit ribosomal RNA", at positions 1 to 901 of the family's 1533-position model. Lineage: Bacteria; Pseudomonadati; Bacteroidota. The record is from RNAcentral.